CCCCUAGUACGGCGAGUGAAGAGGGAAGAGCCCAAGAUUGAAAGCUGGCGUCUUCGGCGUCCGCAUUGUAAUCUCAAGAAGUGUUUUCCGCUUCGGACCAAGCCUAAGUCCCUUGGAAAAGGGCAUCAUAGAGGGUGAUAAUCCCGUACAUGGCUUGGAGCGCCCGAAGCUUUGUGAUACGCUUUCUAAGAGUCGAGUUGUUUGGGAAUGCAGCUCAAAAUGGGUGGUAAAUGCCAUCUAAGGCUAAAUAUUGGGGAGAGACCGAUAGCGAACAAGUACAGUGAUGGAAAGAUGAAAAGAACUUUGAAAAGAGAGUUAAACAGUACGUGAAAUUGCCAAAAGGGAAGGGUAGGAGGUCAGAGAUGCGGCCUGGGAUUCAGCCUUGCUUUUGCUUGGUGUUUUUCCCAGAUUGCAGGCCAACGUCGGUUUUGGGCACUGGAGAAGGGUAGGAGGAACGUGGCACCUCUCGGGGUGUGUUAUAGCCUCCUACUGGAUACAGCGACCGAGACCGAGGACAGCAGCGUACUCGCAAGAGCGGGCCUUCGGGCACCUUUACGCUUAGGGCGUUGGCAUAAU
RNAcentral lists this ribosomal RNA (576 nucleotides) under Moesziomyces aphidis. RNAcentral's name for it is "partial large subunit ribosomal RNA". It matches the Rfam family "Eukaryotic large subunit ribosomal RNA", at positions 77 to 635 of the family's 3401-position model. The record is from RNAcentral. Lineage: Eukaryota; Fungi; Basidiomycota; Ustilaginomycetes; Ustilaginales; Ustilaginaceae.